Long non-coding RNA from Thunnus maccoyii (southern bluefin tuna), 243 nucleotides. RefSeq lists it as uncharacterized. The record is from RefSeq and is a predicted model, not a curated record. The transcript has 3 exons. NCBI's taxonomy places the organism in Eukaryota, Metazoa, Chordata, Actinopteri, Scombriformes, Scombridae.
UUGAAGAGUAAGAACCAAACCAGUAUCUAAGGCGUCCGAAGUGACAUCUGCAGAUUGGUACUAAUAUAACUACCACUCCUACUGGCGUCAAAUCACGCAAUGCGGACAGGUUUGCCCCAAACCAGCUAUUCAGGUCAAAAACAGAUUGAGGCUUUUUUCAGUUACUGACUCACUUCCCACAACCUGCACUUCAAUCUGUCAAUAUCUUUGAGAGAAUCAGGCGUCUGAGCGGAGUUAUUUAGU